Molecule: long non-coding RNA, 368 nt
Organism: Penaeus monodon (black tiger shrimp)
Lineage: Eukaryota; Metazoa; Arthropoda; Malacostraca; Decapoda; Penaeidae
Exons: 2
Source: RefSeq, a predicted model, not a curated record
UCGCAUUACCUUCCCCCACGAGGAGCCACGACCACGACCGCGGCAUUCCUCCUGCACGGCAAUGGCCUCGAACUAAACCCGGGCGGACGCAGGCGAUCCCAUACCUGGCGCCAGGCUUACUGGGGACCCGGGUAAGUAGAUUAAAUAUACCACCUCACAUCCAGCAGAAGUGAAAAACGGAUUUUGGGUGUCCGGUGACAUGUAAUCCAUUCUGAACAAGUAUGACAGUACAGUGUUGGAUAUGCAUUAAGUUGUUAGAAGAGAGACUUUUCCGCAAGUAUUAUUCCUACUUACAAAGACCGCACACCAAUUUUUAAAAUGCGGUAGACCACUUUGUUCAUUUUAAUAUACCCUGAUCUUUCUGCUUA